CCUACGGGAGGCAGCAGUGGGGAAUAUUGGACAAUGGGGGGAACCCUGAUCCAGCCAUGCCGCGUGUGUGAAGAAGGCCCUCGGGUUGUAAAGCACUUUCAGUGAGGAAGAACGCCUGGUGGUUAAUACCCAUCAGGAAAGACAUCAUUCACAGAAGAAGCACCGGCUAACUCCGUGCCAGCAGCCGCGGUAAUACGGAGGGUGCGAGCGUUAAUCGGAAUUACUGGGCGUAAAGCGCGCGUAGGUGGCUUGAUAAGCCGGUUGUGAAAGCCCCGGGCUCAACCUGGGAACGGCAUCCGGAACUGUCAAGCUAGAGUGCAGGAGAGGAAGGUAGAAUUCCCGGUGUAGCGGUGAAAUGCGUAGAGAUCGGGAGGAAUACCAGUGGCGAAGGCGGCCUUCUGGACUGACACUGACACUGAGGUGCGAAAGCGUGGGUAGCAAACAGGAUUAGAUACCCUUGUAGUC
RNAcentral lists this ribosomal RNA (465 nucleotides) under Vreelandella stevensii. RNAcentral describes it as "partial 16S ribosomal RNA". It matches the Rfam family "Bacterial small subunit ribosomal RNA", at positions 338 to 795 of the family's 1533-position model. The record is from RNAcentral. Lineage: Bacteria; Pseudomonadati; Pseudomonadota; Gammaproteobacteria; Oceanospirillales; Halomonadaceae.